RNAcentral lists this small nuclear RNA (105 nucleotides) under Castor canadensis (American beaver). The record is from RNAcentral. Lineage: Eukaryota; Metazoa; Chordata; Mammalia; Rodentia; Castoridae.
GUGCUCGCUUUGGCAGCACAUACACUAAAAUUGGAACAAUACAGAGAAGAUUAGCAUGGCCCUGUACAGGGUGACAUGCAAAUUUGUGAAGCAUUCCAUGUAAAG